This 481-nucleotide ribosomal RNA is filed under the name Pontastacus leptodactylus (narrow-clawed crayfish). Its description in RNAcentral is "Astacus leptodactylus (narrow-clawed crayfish) partial large subunit ribosomal RNA". It matches the Rfam family "Bacterial large subunit ribosomal RNA", at positions 1857 to 2602 of the family's 2925-position model. Lineage: Eukaryota; Metazoa; Arthropoda; Malacostraca; Decapoda; Astacidae. The record is from RNAcentral.
ACCUGCCCAUUGGAAUCUAAAAGGCCGCGGUAUUAUGACCGUGCUAAGGUAGCAUAAUCAUUAGUCUUUUAAUUGGAGGCUGGUAUGAAUGGUUGGACAAGAAAUAAGCUGUCUUAAAUAAAAAUAUUGAAUUUAACUUUUAAGUGAAAAGGCUUAAAUUUUCUAAGGGGACGAUAAGACCCUAUAAAACUUUAUAUUUUAAAAUAAUAAUUAAUUUUUAUAUAGAAGAUUUAUUUUUAAAUAUUUUAUUGGGGUGAUAAAGAUAAAAUGUGAGAUAACUGUCUUUUUUUUUUACAAUUAAUAUUUGAGUAAAAGAUCUUAACAAAGGAAAUAAGAGAUUAAGUUCUUUAGGGAUAACAGCGUAAUUUUCUUUAAGAGUUCUUAUCGACAAGAAAGUUUGCGACCUCGAUGUUGAAUUAAAAGUUCUUUAUAGAGUAGAUAUUAUAAUAGAGGGUCUGUUCGACCCUUAAAAUUUUACGUG